GACGAACGCUGGCGGCACGCUUAACACAUGCAAGUCGAACGAAGUGGCGGACGGGUGAGUAACACGUGAGCAAUCUGCCUUUAGAGGGGGAUACCGAUUGGAAACGAUCGUUAAUACCGCAUACUGAAAGAUAAGCUCGCGUCUGAUUAGCUAGUUGGUAAGGUAACGGCUUACCAAGGCGACGAUCAGUAGCCGGACUGAGAGGUUGAUCGGCCACAUUGGGACUGAGACACGGCCCAGACUCCUACGGGAGGCAGCAGUGGGGAAUAUUGCACAAUGGAGGAAACUCUGAUGCAGCGAUGCCGCGUGAGGGAAGAAGGUUUUAGGAUUGUAAACCUCUGUCUUCAGGGACGCGGUACCUGAGGAGGAAGCUCCGGCUAACUACGUGCCAGCAGCCGCGGUAAUACGUAGGGAGCGAGCGUUGUCCGGAAUUACUGGGUGUAAAGGGAGCGUAGGCGGGAUCGCAAGUCAGAUGUGAAAACUAGGGGCUUAACCCAUAAACUGCAUUUGAAACUGUGGUUCUUGAGUGAAGUAGAGGUAAGCGGAAUUCCUAGUGUAGCGGUGAAAUGCGUAGAUAUUAGGAGGAACAUCAGUGGC
Molecule: ribosomal RNA, 597 nt
Filed under: uncultured bacterium
Lineage: Bacteria
Description: bacterial SSU rRNA
Rfam family: Bacterial small subunit ribosomal RNA
Source: RNAcentral